GGACUUUAGCAAUGCACUAGAUGGCAUGAUGUGAUGUAGGUGGACACAGGUGAAAUCUGAGAGAUCUGAGAUGACAUUUGCAGCAAUCCAGGUGAGAGCCACAGUAUUGGGCCAGGAUGGGAAAAGUAAGGGUAGGUGAUUGGAUUUGGAUUCGGGGUUAUGUCUUGGAGGCAGGAUUUCCAAGGCUCUCUGAUGGACUAGAGAUGAGAUAGAAGUGCUGAGGAUGGUUUUCCUAUUAGUUGCUUUGGGACAACAGAAUAACUGACAAAAGCACUUUAAGAAAGCAGGAAUUCAUUUUGGUUCAUCAUCCUGGGAAGUCUUGGUAUCAGGAGCUUGAGGCAAAUGGUCAUAUUUCAUCCAUAGUCAGGAAGCAGAGAGUGAUAAAUACAGGUUGCCACUGCCUCUGCCUCUCACUCCUCCUCCUCUUCCUCCUUCUUAAAUAAAAGAACCUUUCUUUCUUUUUUUUUUUUUUUGUGUGUGUGUGGGUGCAUGAAUAUCUGUGUACUAUGUGCAUGCCUGGUAUCCUUGGAGACCAGAAGAAGGUAUUGGAUCCCCUGACAAAUGGAGUUACAGAUAGUUGUAAACAGCUAUAUGGGUGCUGAGAAUUGAACUCAGAUCCUCUGGAGUAGCAGCCAGUGCUCCUAACUGAACCAUCUCUUCAGCCCCAUUUUCUCCUUUUUAUACAGUUGGAGGACAUGAAUCGUGGCAUUCAUAUUUAGGGUAGGUCUUCUCACUUUCGUUAACCAUAUCUAGAUUGCUCCUCAUGGACAUGGUUAUCAUCGUGUCAAAUUGACAAUGCUAGCCAUCACAGUUUCCAAGUUCUGACCUGAGCAACUGGGAGAAUGAAGCAAGGCUAAGGUUGUGGUGAGAUCAUGCUGAGGGAAGACCAAGAGUUUCAUUUCAUAGUCUGAGCCUCUUCAGCAUUCAGUGGAGAAGUUUUAUAGACAUGCAUUUGAAAAUAUUCCAGGAGAGAUGGGCAUCCAUAUCUGGAGCUCAUGGGGAAGGAUUGGCCUGGUAAUGGAAAACCAGGAAUUGUCACCAUACAGCUGAGACAUAAGACCUUGGGCCAUGGAGACUCUCUUACCCAGCAAGUAGAGGGAACUGGAGCAGCAAUGAGGACCAGUGUCUGCAAGUGCAGGACCAGGGCAUCUGGAAAAGAUGAGAUAGAUGGCAGCAGACCUGUCUGGAGAGUUGAUGAGGCAAAGCAGGGUCAGGCUGAGCUGAGUUGCUGGUGGAAUUUUCCAACCAUGUGUUCUCUUAGGUGCAUUUAGUCCACAAGAAGGGAAAAAAAUAAAACUCAGUGGAUGCCCAUUUUCAUUCUGGUUGUGCAGUCCUUCCCUUAUUACUGGUCCAGUACCAAGAGCUGUUUAUUAGAAAGGAAGUGGGAGUCUGGCUGUUGCAUUACCAAGCCAAAUGCUCUACAUACACCUUGACAGAACCCCCACUUAGAGAGACUGACCUGUUUCCUUGGUAUUUUUAGCUGGGAAUUAGUUGGGAAUUUAGCUGGGAAUCAUUGCUACCUGUUGUCAUAAUUAGUCUCUGGACCCCUCUUUUACAUUUGAAAACUUUGAUGAGCUUGCUUGUGCCAGAAUAACUUCUCAUCUGAAAUUAUUAUUUUUUCCAUCCUCACUAGAUGGAGGAGGUAAGAAAUAACAGUAUCCUUGGCAUUGCAGCUAAUUACCACUCCUGAUACUUCCUGGCUUAGCCAAUGCUAUCCUCAGAAUUCUUACCUCCCUGUUAAAUGUUCACCAAGUAGAGCUUCUUAAAAAUGAGUUAUCCUCACAGGGUUGUGACAAAGCCUAGGAAGUGCUCAUCUCUGCAGUCUCAUCAUCUGUGUCUCUCAGGUCAAGUACAAACUGUAGCUGUUUUCAGAUGGGCCUGAUAGUUUUGGGAGUAUAAUCCCUGUGUGUUAUUCAUCAGACAGUGUCGCUACAUCAUCCAGUCUGGGCUGUCAAGGGGCUUCAAUAGUCCACUCAUGGAGAAGAAGAAUCAGUAAUCAAAGUCUGACCUCUGGAAGGCAAAGAAAGGUUUGGUUAUCUGUCCAAGGACUGGAAGAUGGUUCAAGCAAGUGUCAACUACAUAGGCCAAAUGGAUAUGCUAUGAGCAUUUUCAAGACAGAUGGGCUAGUCCCUAAACCCUUGCUCUGGAGACCUUACCCGCUAACUGGCCACUCAGGUGAAACUCACAUUUGGAUAAGACCUAGAGUUUGCUAGUCUCCAAAAGUUGGAUAUUGAGCCAGAUUUUCUUGAUAUGCUGGCACAGCCAUAUCCACUGGAAGUAGCAACAGAUUCCCUGCAGUAUGUGUUGAUCAGAUGUCUCCUAUGAUCAAGAGUGUCUUCAGUAAUUGGAGGCUACACAGUGAAUGGAAAAGGCAAGCUCUUUACCACAUGGUAGCUUACCCUUUUGGGUAAAGAAAGAAUUAAAAAAAAAACAGCAAAUAGGAAAAUCAGCAAAAAGAAGCAAGCAACAUCAACUGUAAGUUUAUAGAGCUGUCAAGAGUAGGAAUCAACAUAUUAGAGUGAGUGUCUGAUUCUUGUGCCUGUUCUCAAGACCCUUUUCCUUCUGUUGGGUUGCCUUUUCCAGCCUUGAUGUGAUAGGGUUUUUUUUUUUUUCUUUAUCUCAUUCUGCUUUAUUUUGCAUGUUUGGUUGUUAUCUCUAGAAGCCUGUUCUUUUCCAAUAAGAGACAGAAAUCGAGUAGAUCCAGAGAGGGGGAGGUGGGGAAGAACUAGGAGGAGUAGAGGGAAACUGUCAUUAGGAUAUAUUGUAUAAGAAAAGAAUAUUAUUUUC
This 2787-nucleotide long non-coding RNA is filed under the name Mus musculus (house mouse). RNAcentral describes it as "long non-coding RNA chr19:61036392-61039179". The record is from RNAcentral. Lineage: Eukaryota; Metazoa; Chordata; Mammalia; Rodentia; Muridae.